UAGUAACAAGUACCUACUUUAGUUAUCAUCACAAAGAUCGGAGGACUGUACGAAUAUACUAACGAUUUUAACAGAAGGACAGUUUUAUAACAUACAUAGUUGUAUUAGUAUCGUCGACGGGGCAACUCGUGCCGUUGUGUGAAGCAGUUGCCAUGCUACAGCUAAUCGUGUACAGUUUACUGAUCUUCCUAACAUGUCUAGCUGUAUUUGAUAUAAUCAGACUUUGCGCUUAUGGAAAUCAGGAUACUAAAAGAAGACUGAGAAUCUUUUCAGCUCCGUACCACUUGGUGAAGAACAAGCUGAAAGGCAUGAAGACCCUGAAAGAGGAGAGUCCUCCACCGAGCACUGAAACUAAACCAUCCACCAUCUCAGAGACCGUCUGAUCUGUAAUAUUUAAGCAAUAUUCUCAAUUAUACGUAGCCUUAAGA
Long non-coding RNA from Spodoptera litura, 428 nucleotides. RefSeq lists it as uncharacterized. NCBI's taxonomy places the organism in Eukaryota, Metazoa, Arthropoda, Insecta, Lepidoptera, Noctuidae. The record is from RefSeq and is a predicted model, not a curated record.